UACGUAGGGUGCAAGCAUUAAUCGGAAUUAUUGGGCGUAAAGGGCGCGUAGGCGGUAAAGCAAGUCAGAUGUGAAAUUCCAAAGCUCAACUUUGGAGCUGCAUAUGAAACUGUUUAACUAAGAGGGAUGGCGGAGAAAGCGGAAUUCCACGUGUAGCGGUGAAAUGCGUAGAUAUGUGGAAGAACACCGGUGGCGAAAGCGGCUUUCUAGCUAUUUACUGACGCUGAGGCGCGAGAGCAAGGGGAGCAAACAGG
RNAcentral lists this ribosomal RNA (254 nucleotides) under uncultured bacterium. RNAcentral describes it as "partial 16S ribosomal RNA". It matches the Rfam family "Bacterial small subunit ribosomal RNA", at positions 524 to 776 of the family's 1533-position model. The record is from RNAcentral.